This 687-nucleotide ribosomal RNA is filed under the name Bacillus sp. YU-SS-SB-23. RNAcentral describes it as "bacterial SSU rRNA". It matches the Rfam family "Bacterial small subunit ribosomal RNA", at positions 389 to 1068 of the family's 1533-position model. The record is from RNAcentral. Lineage: Bacteria; Bacillati; Bacillota; Bacilli; Caryophanales; Bacillaceae.
GAGCACGCCGCGUGAGUGAUGAAGGUUUUCGGAUCGUAAAGCUCUGUUGUUAGGGAAGAACAAGUGCGAGAGUAACUGCUCGCACCUUGACGGUACCUAACCAGAAAGCCACGGCUAACUACGUGCCAGCAGCCGCGGUAAUACGUAGGUGGCAAGCGUUGUCCGGAAUUAUUGGGCGUAAAGGGCUCGCAGGCGGUUUCUUAAGUCUGAUGUGAAAGCCCCCGGCUCAACCGGGGAGGGUCAUUGGAAACUGGGAAACUUGAGUGCAGAAGAGGAGAGUGGAAUUCCACGUGUAGCGGUGAAAUGCGUAGAGAUGUGGAGGAACACCAGUGGCGAAGGCGACUCUCUGGUCUGUAACUGACGCUGAGGAGCGAAAGCGUGGGGAGCGAACAGGAUUAGAUACCCUGGUAGUCCACGCCGUAAACGAUGAGUGCUAAGUGUUAGGGGGUUUCCGCCCCUUAGUGCUGCAGCUAACGCAUUAAGCACUCCGCCUGGGGAGUACGGUCGCAAGACUGAAACUCAAAGGAAUUGACGGGGGCCCGCACAAGCGGUGGAGCAUGUGGUUUAAUUCGAAGCAACGCGAAGAACCUUACCAGGUCUUGACAUCCUCUGACAACCCUAGAGAUAGGGCUUUCCCUUCGGGGACAGAGUGACAGGUGGUGCAUGGUUGUCGUCAGCUCGUGUCGU